GACGAACGCUGGCGGCGUGCCUAAUACAUGCAAGUCGAGCGGACGGAUGGGGGCUUGCUCCCAGACCGUCAGCGGCGGACGGGUGAGUAACACGUGGGCAACCUGCCUGUAAGACUGGGAUAACUCCGGGAAACCGGGGCUAAUACCGGAUAACUCUUUCCCUCACAUGAGGGAAAGCUGAAAGAUGGCAUCUCGCUAUCACUUACAGAUGGGCCCGCGGCGCAUUAGCUAGUUGGUGAGGUAACGGCUCACCAAGGCGACGAUGCGUAGCCGACCUGAGAGGUUGAUCGGCCACACUGGGACUGAGACACGGCCCAGACUCCUACGGGAGGCAGCAGUAGGGAAUCUUCCGCAAUGGACGAAAGUCUGACGGAGCAACGCCGCGUGAGUGAUGAAGGUGUUCGGAUCGUAAAACUCUGUUGUCAGGGAAGAACAAGUACCGGAGUAACUGCCGGUACCUUGACGGUACCUGAACAGAAAGCCACGGCUAACUACGUG
RNAcentral lists this ribosomal RNA (498 nucleotides) under uncultured bacterium. RNAcentral's name for it is "partial 16S ribosomal RNA". It matches the Rfam family "Bacterial small subunit ribosomal RNA", at positions 28 to 507 of the family's 1533-position model. The record is from RNAcentral.